UACAUUCAUGGCUUCUAUCAGAGCACAAUAACAUACAACAGCAGAACAAAUCAAUGACAAAAUUAGAUGGAGCCAAAUCAUCUCUAGCAGCCGCUUCUGCUCACUUGAAGACAAUCUUACACAAGUGCAGCCUGUUCCCUGCCUCUGUGUUUCCCAGGGACUCCUCAAACACACAUCAGGAAUCAGAUAUGGGCUAAACAGAACAAAAGACUGAUGGAACAAGAGAGCUUCAGGGGCAGGGGGCAGAUGACUUUGCUUCAUGGAGUGAAAUUAGACUGCCACUUAAGAUACAAACCAGAUCAGGAACCUGUUCCAUCCCUUAGCCCAAAUGACUUGCUAAAAUGGACACCAAAAGGAUACAGUGUGUUGAUGGAAAGCUCUGAAUAAACAGCUCAAUUGGAUGAAACAGUUCACCUGAAAUGAAGGAAAAAGCUCUCCCUCAAUCUGAGCAAAAGAACACUUUUAAAAGGCAUUAAUAAAAAAGGGUAUAAUAAAACUAAAAGGUAUGGC
Molecule: long non-coding RNA, 510 nt
Filed under: Parus major (Great Tit)
Lineage: Eukaryota; Metazoa; Chordata; Aves; Passeriformes; Paridae
Description: lncRNA (ENSPMJG00000011493.1)
Source: RNAcentral